CAGCUGUGCAUGCAAGAAUGAAAAAGCUCCAUGAGAGAAGAAGGUGAAGGAACCUAAAUUAAUGAAAAAAAAGGUACGGGUUCUCAAGGAAACAUUACCAGUGAAAUCUGUAGCAAGUUUUCCAUUGCAGAAUCUUCCAGUUGGCCUGUGAUUAACAAAAUCUCUUCCAUAUGGUGGAAAGUUUGAUUUGAUAAGUGUGUUGAGAUUGUUGUUAUUCCCCACAUCAACAACCGAGUCCCCAAAGAUGAUGAGUGCAGGAACAAGGGGAUCUCCAUGAGCCACUGAAGAAACCGAAACCAGCACAAGAACCAAGGUAGCCAAAAACUCACUUGAAGCUCUCAUUUUCCUUUUCUCUUUUGCUCUUUGACUUAACUGUAAACCUCACAAUGCAUGUAUACUAGAGAAAGAGAGAGAGGUGUAAAAGAGAAGUGAAUGGGGUGAAAGAAGGGGCAGGUGAAGGAGAAUUUAAGGAGAAAAAGCCAUAGGUGAAAGUUAUGGUCAAACUGAAACAAAUGUCUUUAUGAGAAUGGUUCCAUUAAAGGUGCUUAUUUCUAGGAGAAAGAGGCAUGUUAGGCUUUUAAAAACAAAGUGACAAUCAUUUUGUAUGUGUUCUAAAUUUUUUUUCUUUAGGUGACAUUAGAAUCAGUUAAAAAGUUCUAUUUACUUUUUCGAAAAAGAGUUUUGGUUGUUGCCCCUUCGGUGUGCAUCCACACAUUUUGCAUAACGUUCAAGAGUUGGCGUGUCUUCAACAAAUUUUGCCAUUUUUGUUCAACUAGCAUGAUCACAUCGGCCAUCCCAAACAAAUCAAUUUGUUUCUUGAAGUACUCUGUGUCUCACACUUGUCUCCGUAGUAUAUCCUGAUCCCAAAGACCCCAAAUACAUG
This 883-nucleotide long non-coding RNA is filed under the name Gossypium barbadense (sea-island cotton). RNAcentral's name for it is "long non-coding RNA (GBAR_LNC013808)". The record is from RNAcentral. Lineage: Eukaryota; Viridiplantae; Streptophyta; Magnoliopsida; Malvales; Malvaceae.